AACCCUUGACAUCCCGGUCGCGAUUUCCAGAGAUGGAUUUCUUCAGUUAGGCUGGAUCGGUGAC
Molecule: ribosomal RNA, 64 nt
Filed under: uncultured bacterium
Lineage: Bacteria
Description: partial 16S ribosomal RNA
Source: RNAcentral